UGAUCAAGGCUCUACGUUGUUGUGCGAACUCUUGGCCAUUCAACAUCUCGUCGAUCUGGAUGCAUUAUGGAGAAAAUCUAGAUAAUGACUUCCAUGAUGAGCCUCUGGAUUGGGACAUACUGGAGAAGAUACUGGCGGGCGAGCAGUUUAAGGGCUGGGACUGGUUUCUGACUAAGUUACACCGAAUGCUGCAGAACGCAAUGUCCUGCUUCACCGAAUGCCCAUCGAUCCGCACAGCGACACAGAGGACCUUCGAAAAGGUCGUGGAAAUUAUACCUGAUUAUGAAGGACGCAUGGCUCACGUAAAGGCGACGGCUCACGAAGCGGUUCGUUUGAAAUUGGACGCCAUGACACCAUCUCAAAAAGAGGAACUCCUUAAAUAACUUGAAUUAUCCAAGAAAGCAAACAGAAAUCAUUCCUAUUGGUUUGUAACAGAAAUUUGAAUAAAUAACACAAGGCGAGAAGUACUCACUGCAUGCUUUCGAUAGGUUUUCUAUCUUAAGGGUUUCGAUGACAGAUGAAGAAAAAAAGUAAAAUUUGACAAAUAACCGCUAAGGUGCAGAUGUAGUACUGAGUGCCGGGUAUAAAAGUUGUGACGCGAAAGAAGCGUCUCACACGUCCCUUCUCGUUCUUCUUUUUUUUUCUUUUGCUGGAAGAGAUAAAGCUUCCAUUGCGAAGCCUCUUUUCCAUCUUUAAGGAUUCCUUAUAGUAUGCCUUGAACAAGGACUCACCAGACUGACUAACUUGUCUCUCACUCACUCUAAAAACAUUACAGUUCAAGACAGAAAUACAAUAUACAAAGAACAGAGAACAAACUCCAAAAAUGAAACGAGAGCCACUGAAAGGCAUUACCAACGUGCAAACGGAUAAGAAAAUGACCCAAAAGAACACCAAAAAUGGGCAACCAGCCCGCAGAUGCUUCGAGAUCUUUAGAGGAUCUAACUGAUGGGCGGACCAGAGAGUGAGUGUCAGAGAGGAGUCCGAAUAGUAUUAUCAUGUUCAUGGUUAUUUUGGAAAUCUGAAGAACUCACACAGAAUAGAGAAACACACAAAAGACACAAUCUUAAACCACAAGAAAUA
This 1080-nucleotide long non-coding RNA is filed under the name Drosophila guanche. Lineage: Eukaryota; Metazoa; Arthropoda; Insecta; Diptera; Drosophilidae. The record is from RNAcentral.